This 468-nucleotide ribosomal RNA is filed under the name uncultured bacterium. RNAcentral's name for it is "partial 16S ribosomal RNA". It matches the Rfam family "Bacterial small subunit ribosomal RNA", at positions 28 to 507 of the family's 1533-position model. The record is from RNAcentral.
GACGAACGCUGGCGGCGUGCUUAACACAUGCAAGUCGAACGGAAAGGCCCUGCUUUUGUGGGGUGCUCGAGUGGCGAACGGGUGAGUAACACGUGAGUAACCUGCCCUUGACUUUGGGAUAACUUCAGGAAACUGGGGCUAAUACCGGAUAGGAGCUCCUGCUGCAUGGUGGGGGUUGAAAAGUUCCGGCGGUUGGGGAUGGACUCGCGGCUUAUCAGCUUGUUGGUGGGGUAGUGGCUUACCAAGGCUUUGACGGGUAGCCGGCCUGAGAGGGUGACCGGCCACAUUGGGACUGAGAUACGGCCCAGACUCCUACGGGAGGCAGCAGUGGGGAAUAUUGCACAAUGGGCGGAAGCCUGAUGCAGCAACGCCGCGUGCGGGAUGACGGCCUUCGGGUUGUAAACCGCUUUCGCCUGUGACGAAGCGUGAGUGACGGUAAUGGGUAAAGAAGCACCGGCUAACUACGUG